Molecule: ribosomal RNA, 591 nt
Filed under: Microdytes sp. BMNH 681299
Lineage: Eukaryota; Metazoa; Arthropoda; Insecta; Coleoptera; Dytiscidae
Description: SSU rRNA
Rfam family: Eukaryotic small subunit ribosomal RNA
Source: RNAcentral
UUGUCUCAAAGAUUAAGCCAUGCAUGUCUCAGUACAAGCCGCAUUAAGGUGAAACCGCGAAAGGCUCAUUAAAUCAGUUAUGGUUCCUUAGAUCGUACCCACAUUUACUUGGAUAACUGUGGUAAUUCUAGAGCUAAUACAUGCAAACAGAGCUCCGACCGGAGACGGGAGGAGUGCUUUUAUUAGAUCAAAACCAAUCGGCGGCGGGCGCGUCCGCGCGCCCGUUCGCCGCUCAACCUGGUGACUCUGAAUAACUUUGUGCUGAUCGCACGGUCUCGCACCGGCGACGCAUCUUUCAAAUGUCUGCCUUAUCAACUGUCGAUGGUAGGUUCUGCGCCUACCAUGGUCGUAACGGGUAACGGGGAAUCAGGGUUCGAUUCCGGAGAGGGAGCCUGAGAAACGGCUACCACAUCCAAGGAAGGCAGCAGGCGCGCAAAUUACCCACUCCCGGCACGGGGAGGUAGUGACGAAAAAUAACGAUACGGGACUCAUCCGAGGCCCCGUAAUCGGAAUGAGUACACUUUAAAUCCUUUAACGAUGAUCAAUUGGAGGGCAAGCCUGGUGCCAGCAGCCGCGGUAAUUCCAGUCCAA